AGAAUAUUGUGACUGCAGGCUAUGAUGUCACAAAAAUAGAUCCUUACAGGAGUACAAAUCUAUUCUUCAAUCUCUCAUUACAGCAGUUUUCACCAGAUGGAUUCACAGCAACACAAACAACCCAAAACUGAAGGAAUUUUAUUCAACAUGGUGAGAGCAAUCCUCAUUCUCACCCUAGUAUCAGGUAUAUUUUGUCAAAUUGUACCUAAAGAAGCCGUCUUGAAUAUUGCAGAGGAGGAGACUGUAAAACUCAGUUGUUCAUAUGAACCAAGCAGUGAAUAUGUUGAACUUCACUGGUACAGAGAACAUCCUAACAAAGCACCUCAGUUUUUAGUGUGGAAAGGUUCUCGGGCAUGGAGUCAGGAUGCGUAUUCUCCACAUGUUCGGUUCCAGUCAACAACUUCCCGAACCUCCACUGAACUCACUAUUACAAAAUCAACUUUGGCAGAUUCAGCUCUUUACUACUGUGCUCUUAGAGUAGGGGCCCAGUGAUGCAAAGUUUCUGAGAGGUUGUACAAAAACAAUAUUAGAUAAUUCCCUUUGUAUUUGUACAUCAAACCACAGCUGGUUACAAAAAAGGAAACCCAUUAUAAGCAUCUGGUAACACCUGCAAAAAUUGAAAAAAAAAAUAUUUAAUUCUGGUGUUCUUUGAUAGACCAGGCUUUUGGUACAGCCAUGUCAAUUGUUAUUUAUUUAUUAUAUUCAAACUGUUAUUAUGUAUAUUUUCUUAUUUCAUC
Molecule: non-coding RNA, 737 nt
Organism: Electrophorus electricus (electric eel)
Lineage: Eukaryota; Metazoa; Chordata; Actinopteri; Gymnotiformes; Gymnotidae
Source: the annotation of a RefSeq genome assembly